Molecule: ribosomal RNA, 2451 nt
Filed under: Escherichia coli
Lineage: Bacteria; Pseudomonadati; Pseudomonadota; Gammaproteobacteria; Enterobacterales; Enterobacteriaceae
Description: partial 23S ribosomal RNA
Rfam family: Bacterial large subunit ribosomal RNA
Source: RNAcentral
CAUAGGUUAAUGAGGCGAACCGGGGGAACUGAAACAUCUAAGUACCCCGAGGAAAAGAAAUCAACCGAGAUUCCCCCAGUAGCGGCGAGCGAACGGGGAGCAGCCCAGAGCCUGAAUCAGUGUGUGUGUUAGUGGAAGCGUCUGGAAAGGCGCGCGAUACAGGGUGACAGCCCCGUACACAAAAAUGCACAUGCUGUGAGCUCGAUGAGUAGGGCGGGACACGUGGUAUCCUGUCUGAAUAUGGGGGGACCAUCCUCCAAGGCUAAAUACUCCUGACUGACCGAUAGUGAACCAGUACCGUGAGGGAAAGGCGAAAAGAACCCCGGCGAGGGGAGUGAAAAAGAACCUGAAACCGUGUACGUACAAGCAGUGGGAGCACGCUUAGGCGUGUGACUGCGUACCUUUUGUAUAAUGGGUCAGCGACUUAUAUUCUGUAGCAAGGUUAACCGAAUAGGGGAGCCGAAGGGAAACCGAGUCUUAACUGGGCGUUAAGUUGCAGGGUAUAGACCCGAAACCCGGUGAUCUAGCCAUGGGCAGGUUGAAGGUUGGGUAACACUAACUGGAGGACCGAACCGACUAAUGUUGAAAAAUUAGCGGAUGACUUGUGGCUGGGGGUGAAAGGCCAAUCAAACCGGGAGAUAGCUGGUUCUCCCCGAAAGCUAUUUAGGUAGCGCCUCGUGAAUUCAUCUCCGGGGGUAGAGCACUGUUUCGGCAAGGGGGUCAUCCCGACUUACCAACCCGAUGCAAACUGCGAAUACCGGAGAAUGUUAUCACGGGAGACACACGGCGGGUGCUAACGUCCGUCGUGAAGAGGGAAACAACCCAGACCGCCAGCUAAGGUCCCAAAGUCAUGGUUAAGUGGGAAACGAUGUGGGAAGGCCCAGACAGCCAGGAUGUUGGCUUAGAAGCAGCCAUCAUUUAAAGAAAGCGUAAUAGCUCACUGGUCGAGUCGGCCUGCGCGGAAGAUGUAACGGGGCUAAACCAUGCACCGAAGCUGCGGCAGCGACGCUGAUGCGUUGUUGGGUAGGGGAGCGUUCUGUAAGCCUGUGAAGGUGUACUGUGAGGUAUGCUGGAGGUAUCAGAAGUGCGAAUGCUGACAUAAGUAACGAUAAAGCGGGUGAAAAGCCCGCUCGCCGGAAGACCAAGGGUUCCUGUCCAACGUUAAUCGGGGCAGGGUGAGUCGACCCCUAAGGCGAGGCCGAAAGGCGUAGUCGAUGGGAAACAGGUUAAUAUUCCUGUACUUGGUGUUACUGCGAAGGGGGGACGGAGAAGGCUAUGUUGGCCGGGCGACGGUUGUCCCGGUUUAAGCGUGUAGGCUGGUUUUCCAGGCAAAUCCGGAAAAUCAAGGCUGAGGCGUGAUGACGAGGCACUACGGUGCUGAAGCAACAAAUGCCCUGCUUCCAGGAAAAGCCUCUAAGCAUCAGGUAACAUCAAAUCGUACCCCAAACCGACACAGGUGGUCAGGUAGAGAAUACCAAGGCGCUUGAGAGAACUCGGGUGAAGGAACUAGGCAAAAUGGUGCCGUAACUUCGGGAGAAGGCACGCUGAUAUGUAGGUGAAGUCCCUCGCGGAUGGAGCUGAAAUCAGUCGAAGAUACCAGCUGGCUGCAACUGUUUAUUAAAAACACAGCACUGUGCAAACACGAAAGUGGACGUAUACGGUGUGACGCCUGCCCGGUGCCGGAAGGUUAAUUGAUGGGGUUAGCGCAAGCGAAGCUCUUGAUCGAAGCCCCGGUAAACGGCGGCCGUAACUAUAACGGUCCUAAGGUAGCGAAAUUCCUUGUCGGGUAAGUUCCGACCUGCACGAAUGGCGUAAUGAUGGCCAGGCUGUCUCCACCCGAGACUCAGUGAAAUUGAACUCGCUGUGAAGAUGCAGUGUACCCGCGGCAAGACGGAAAGACCCCGUGAACCUUUACUAUAGCUUGACACUGAACAUUGAGCCUUGAUGUGUAGGAUAGGUGGGAGGCUUUGAAGUGUGGACGCCAGUCUGCAUGGAGCCGACCUUGAAAUACCACCCUUUAAUGUUUGAUGUUCUAACGUUGACCCGUAAUCCGGGUUGCGGACAGUGUCUGGUGGGUAGUUUGACUGGGGCGGUCUCCUCCUAAAGAGUAACGGAGGAGCACGAAGGUUGGCUAAUCCUGGUCGGACAUCAGGAGGUUAGUGCAAUGGCAUAAGCCAGCUUGACUGCGAGCGUGACGGCGCGAGCAGGUGCGAAAGCAGGUCAUAGUGAUCCGGUGGUUCUGAAUGGAAGGGCCAUCGCUCAACGGAUAAAAGGUACUCCGGGGAUAACAGGCUGAUACCGCCCAAGAGUUCAUAUCGACGGCGGUGUUUGGCACCUCGAUGUCGGCUCAUCACAUCCUGGGGCUGAAGUAGGUCCCAAGGGUAUGGCUGUUCGCCAUUUAAAGUGGUACGCGAGCUGGGUUUAGAACGUCGUGAGACAGUUCGGUCCCUA